UGGAGGGCAAGUCUGGUGCCAGCAGCCGCGGUAAUUCCAGCUCCAAUAGCGUAUAUUAAACUUGUUGCAGUUAAAAAGCUCGUAGUUGAAUUUCAGCGUUUCGCGUGUGCCUCUUUUGGCCCAUCUCGUCUCGCUUUUUUUAUUACUUUGAGAAAAUUAGAGUGUUUCAAGCAGGCUUUUGUCUUGAAUACUUGAGCAUGGAAUAAUAGAGUAGGACCUUGGUUCUAUUUUGUUGGUUUUGUUACCUUGGUAAUGGUUAAUAGGAACGGUUGGGGGCAUUCGUAUUUAACUGUCAGAGGUGAAAUUCUUAGAUUUGUUAAAGACGAACUACUGCGAAAGCAUUUGCCAAGGACGUUUCCAUUAAUCAAGAACGAAAGUUAGGGGAUCGAAGACGAUCAGAUACCGUCGUAGUCCUAACCAUAA
RNAcentral lists this ribosomal RNA (423 nucleotides) under Babesia occultans. RNAcentral describes it as "SSU rRNA". It matches the Rfam family "Eukaryotic small subunit ribosomal RNA", at positions 549 to 1035 of the family's 1831-position model. Lineage: Eukaryota; Apicomplexa; Aconoidasida; Piroplasmida; Babesiidae. The record is from RNAcentral.